Pygocentrus nattereri (red-bellied piranha) is the source of this 81-nucleotide small nuclear RNA. Its record names the gene U4. It matches the Rfam family "U4 spliceosomal RNA". Rfam says of the family: U4 small nuclear RNA (U4 snRNA) is a component of the major U2-dependent spliceosome. The structure of U4 snRNA from yeast and human has been reported. The record is from Ensembl. NCBI's taxonomy places the organism in Eukaryota, Metazoa, Chordata, Actinopteri, Characiformes, Serrasalmidae.
AUGCUUUUGCAGAGGCAAUAUUGUAGCCUGUGAGGUUAAUCCGAGGCGCGAUCAUUGCUGGUUGAAAACUUUACCAUUGGG